AUGAACGCUGGCGGCGUGCCUCAUCCAUGCCCGUCGAGCGAACAGACGAGGAGCUUGCUCCUCUGACGUUAGCGGCGGACGGGUGAGUAACACGUGGAUAACCUACCUAUAAGACUGGGAUAACUUCGGGAAACCGGAGCUAAUACCGGAUAAUAUAUUGAACCGCAUGGUUCAAUAGUGAAAGACGGUUUUGCUGUCACUUAUAGAUGGAUCCGCGCCGCAUUAGCUAGUUGGUAAGGUAACGGCUUACCAAGGCAACGAUGCGUAGCCGACCUGAGAGGGUGAUCGGCCACACUGGAACUGAGACACGGUCCAGACUCCUACGGGAGGCAGCAGUAGGGAAUCUUCCGCAAUGGGCGAAAGCCUGACGGAGCAACGCCGCGUGAGUGAUGAAGGUCUUCGGAUCGUAAAACUCUGUUAUUAGGGAAGAACAAAUGUGUAAGUAACUAUGCACGUCUUGACGGUACCUAAUCAGAAAGCCACGGCUAACUACGUG
This 496-nucleotide ribosomal RNA is filed under the name uncultured bacterium. RNAcentral's name for it is "partial 16S ribosomal RNA". It matches the Rfam family "Bacterial small subunit ribosomal RNA", at positions 29 to 507 of the family's 1533-position model. The record is from RNAcentral.